RNAcentral lists this ribosomal RNA (379 nucleotides) under uncultured eukaryote. RNAcentral describes it as "partial 18S ribosomal RNA". It matches the Rfam family "Eukaryotic small subunit ribosomal RNA", at positions 592 to 976 of the family's 1831-position model. The record is from RNAcentral.
CAAUAGCGUAUAUUAAAGUUGUUGCGGUUAAAAGCUCGUAGUUGGAGUUCUGCCAGGUGCCGCCUGUCCGCCCCAGUGGUGAGUACGUGGCGCGCAUUUGGCCCUUUCAAGGGGAGCGUAUCUGCACUUUAUUGUGUGGUGCGGGAUCCUUGACUUUUACUUUGAGGAAAUAGGAGUGUUCCAAGCAGGCUCUCGUCGUGCACAGCUCAGCAUGGAAUAAUAGCAUUGGACCUCGAUUCUAAGCUGUUGGUUGCCAGAAGCGAGGUAAUGAUGAAGAGGGAUAGUUGGGGGCAUUCGUAUUUAACUGUCGGAGGUGAAAUUCUUGGAUUUGUUAAAGACGGACUACUGCGAAAGCAUCUGCCAUGGAUGUUUUCAUUGA